UGACAUUCAGUAAGCCUUUAGUUUCCCAGGAUUCCUUUGGAUCUGCACCUGGACAGAAUGGACUCGGAGCCUGAAUUAAAGUCACCCCAUUUGGAUAGGAUUUCAUUUCUAGCUCAACCAAAGAACUCCAAGACGGUUUGGGCCACAACACCUUGGAUACUGACAUGGGGAAACCAGGAAUCGAUAC
Puntigrus tetrazona (Sumatra barb) is the source of this 187-nucleotide long non-coding RNA. RefSeq lists it as uncharacterized. The transcript is spliced from 4 exons. Lineage: Eukaryota; Metazoa; Chordata; Actinopteri; Cypriniformes; Cyprinidae. The record is from RefSeq and is a predicted model, not a curated record.